Molecule: unclassified non-coding RNA, 221 nt
Filed under: uncultured Thelephora
Lineage: Eukaryota; Fungi; Basidiomycota; Agaricomycetes; Thelephorales; Thelephoraceae
Description: sequence contains ITS2
Source: RNAcentral
ACACCUCAACUCUCAUGGGUUUGCCAUGAUGAGCUUGGACUUUUGGGGGUUUUGCUGGCCCAUUGUCAGCUCCUCUCAAACGAAUCAGCUUGCCGGCAUUUGGUGGCAUCGCAGGUGUGAUAACUAUCUACGCUUGUGGUAUUCCACCUGGUAACCUUCAGCAAUGGAGGUGUGCUGGAGCUCAUAGACGUCUCUCUUCAGCAAGGGACAUGUUUUUGAAU